UUACCAGCUUGACAUAUAUGAAAGUACCCAAGGAACAGGUGCUGCAUGGCUGUCGUCAGCUCGUGCUGUGAAGUGUCGGGUUAAGUCCCUCAACGAGCGCAACCCUGUCCUACUUGCUAACGUACGAGACUGUAGGAGACUGCCGGUGUCAACCGGAGGAAGGUGGGGAUGACGUCAAGUCCUCAUGGCCUUUAUGCUGGGCUGCACACGUGCUACAAUGGUGUACAAACGGCACCGCAAGGGGAGCAAUCGCUAAACAACCCCAGUUCAGAUUGCGGGCUGAAAUUCGCCCGCAUGAAGUUGGAAUCGCUAGUAAUCGCGAUCAGCACGCGCGGUGAAUAUGUUCCUGAGCCUUGUACACACCGCCCGUCAAGUCAUGGGAGCUGGAGGCCGAA
Molecule: ribosomal RNA, 395 nt
Filed under: uncultured bacterium
Lineage: Bacteria
Description: bacterial SSU rRNA
Rfam family: Bacterial small subunit ribosomal RNA
Source: RNAcentral